GACGAACGCUGGCGGCGUGCUUAACACAUGCAAGUCGAACGGAAAGGCCCUGCUUUUGUGGGGUGCUCGAGUGGCGAACGGGUGAGUAACACGUGAGUAACCUGCCCUUGACUUUGGGAUAACUUCAGGAAACUGGGGCUAAUACCGGAUAGGAGCUCCUGCUGCAUGGUGGGGGUUGGAAAGUUUCGGCGGUUGGGGAUGGACUCGCGGCUUAUCAGCUUGUUGGUGGGGUAGUGGCUUACCAAGGCUUUGACGGGUAGCCGGCCUGAGAGGGUGACCGGCCACAUUGGGACUGAGAUACGGCCCAGACUCCUACGGGAGGCAGCAGUGGGGAAUAUUGCACAAUGGGCGGAAGCCUGAUGCAGCAACGCCGCGUGCGGGAUGACGGCCUUCGGGUUGUAAACCGCCUUCGCCUGUGACGAAGCGUGAGUGACGGUAAUGGGUAAAGAAGCACCGGCUAACUACGUGCCAGCAGCCGCGGUGAUACGUAGGGUGCGAGCGUUGUCCGGAUUUAUUGGGCGUAAAGGGCUCGUAGGUGGUUGAUCGCGUCGGAAGUGUAAUCUUGGGGCUUAACCCUGAGCGUGCUUUCGAUACGGGUUGACUUGAGGAAGGUAGGGGGGAAUGGAAUUCCUGGUGGAGCGGUGGAAUGCGCAGAUAUCAGGAGGAACACCAGUGGCGAAGGCGGUUCUCUGGGCCUUUCCUGACGCUGAGGAGCGAAAGCGUGGGGAGCGAACAGGCUUAGAUACCCUGGUAGUCCACGCUGUAAACGGUGGGUACUAGGUGUGGGGUCCAUUCCACGGGUUCCGUGCCGUAGCUAACGCUUUAAGUACCCCGCCUGGGGAGUACGGCCGCAAGGCUAAAACUCAAAGGAAUUGACGGGGCCCCGCACAAGCGGCGGAGCAUGCGGAUUAAUUCGAUGCAACGCGUAGAACCUUACCUGGGUUUGACAUGGAUCGGGAGUGCUCAGAGAUGGGUGUGCCUCUUUUGGGGUCGGUUCACAGGUGGUGCAUGGCUGUCGUCAGCUCGUGUCGUGAGAUGUUGGGUUAAGUCCCGCAACGAGCGCAACCCUUGUUCACUGUUGCCAGCACGUUAUGGUGGGGACUCAGUGGAGACCGCCGGGGUCAACUCGGAGGAAGGUGGGGAUGACGUCAAGUCAUCAUGCCCCUUAUGUCCAGGGCUUCACGCAUGCUACAAUGGCUGGUACAGAGAGUGGCGAGCCUGUGAGGGUGAGCGAAUCUCGGAAAGCCGGUCUCAGUUCGGAUUGGGGUCUGCAACUCGACCUCAUGAAGUCGGAGCCGCUAGUAAUCGCAGAUCAGCAACGCUGCGGUGAAUACGUUCCCGGGGCU
RNAcentral lists this ribosomal RNA (1346 nucleotides) under uncultured bacterium. RNAcentral's name for it is "partial 16S ribosomal RNA". It matches the Rfam family "Bacterial small subunit ribosomal RNA", at positions 28 to 1381 of the family's 1533-position model. The record is from RNAcentral.